UGGGGAAUUUUGGACAAUGGGCGAAAGCCUGAUCCAGCAAUGCCGCGUGUGUGAAGAAGGCCUUCGGGUUGUAAAGCACUUUUGUCCGGAAAGAAAUCCUUGGCUCUAAUACAGUCGGGGGAUGACGGUACCGGAAGAAUAAGCACCGGCUAACUACGUGCCAGCAGCCGCGGUAAUACGUAGGGUGCAAGCGUUAAUCGGAAUUACUGGGCGUAAAGCGUGCGCAGGCGGUUUGCUAAGACCGAUGUGAAAUCCCCGGGCUCAACCUGGGAACUGCAUUGGUGACUGGCAGGCUAGAGUAUGGCAGAGGGGGGUAGAAUUCCACGUGUAGCAGUGAAAUGCGUAGAGAUGUGGAGGAAUACCGAUGGCGAAGGCAGCCCCCUGGGCCAAUACUGACGCUCAUGCACGAAAGCGUGGGGGAGCAAACAGGAUUAGAUACCCUGGUAGUCCACGCCCUAAACGAUGUCAACUAGUUGUUGGGGAUUCAUUUCCUUAGUAACGUAGCUAACGCGUGAAGUUGACCGCCUGGGGAGUACGGUCGCAAGAUUAAAACUCAAAGGAAUUGAC
This 567-nucleotide ribosomal RNA is filed under the name uncultured bacterium. Its description in RNAcentral is "partial 16S ribosomal RNA". It matches the Rfam family "Bacterial small subunit ribosomal RNA", at positions 355 to 914 of the family's 1533-position model. The record is from RNAcentral.